GGGUAUAAACUGGUGGGACAUCGGAAGAAGAUGUUCCGUCACUUGGGGAGGCACGCAUACUCGAGACCUAGAACGAGAGUGAGUACUGAUGAUGAACAGUGAUGCAUGGCUUCCGUCGAUUGUCGGAGAAGGAAGAUCUACAAAGAAAAUCACGUCGGAGAUGACUCCAACGAGGAUCCUCUGACGUUCAAGUCAAUGAGAUGAAUCAAUGGAG
Molecule: long non-coding RNA, 214 nt
Filed under: Elaeis guineensis (African oil palm)
Lineage: Eukaryota; Viridiplantae; Streptophyta; Magnoliopsida; Arecales; Arecaceae
Description: long non-coding RNA (EGUI_LNC013612)
Source: RNAcentral